AUACGGAGGGUGCAAGCGUUACUCGGAAUCACUGGGCGUAAAGCGCGCGCAGGCGGCUAUUUAAGUUGGAUGUGAAAGCCUACGGCUCAACCGUAGAACUGCAUCCAAAACUAUUUAGCUAGAGUGUGGGAGAGGAAGAUGGAAUUAGUUGUGUAGGGGUAAAAUCCGUAGAGAUAACUAGGAAUACCAAAAGCGAAGGCAAUCUUCUGGAACAUUACUGACGCUGAGGCGCGAAAGCGUGGGGAGCAAACAGGAUUAGAAACCCUUGUAGUCC
RNAcentral lists this ribosomal RNA (274 nucleotides) under uncultured bacterium. RNAcentral's name for it is "partial 16S ribosomal RNA". It matches the Rfam family "Bacterial small subunit ribosomal RNA", at positions 523 to 796 of the family's 1533-position model. The record is from RNAcentral.